Molecule: ribosomal RNA, 253 nt
Filed under: uncultured bacterium
Lineage: Bacteria
Description: partial 16S ribosomal RNA
Rfam family: Bacterial small subunit ribosomal RNA
Source: RNAcentral
UACGGAGGGUGCGAGCGUUGUCCGGAAUCAUUGGGCGUAAAGGACGCGUAGGUGGCCCGGUCAGCGUGCGGUGAAAGCUCGGGGCUCAACCCCGAGUCGGCCGUGCGAACUGCUGGGCUUGAGCACUGUAGAGGCAGGCGGAAUUCCGGGUGUAGCGGUGGAAUGCGUAGAGAUCCGGAAGAACACCGGUGGCGAAGGCGGCCUGCUGGGCAGUGGCUGACACUGAGGCGCGACAGCGUGGGGAGCAAACAGG